This 1217-nucleotide ribosomal RNA is filed under the name Microbacterium sp. BE396. Its description in RNAcentral is "bacterial SSU rRNA". It matches the Rfam family "Bacterial small subunit ribosomal RNA", at positions 214 to 1441 of the family's 1533-position model. Lineage: Bacteria; Bacillati; Actinomycetota; Actinomycetes; Micrococcales; Microbacteriaceae. The record is from RNAcentral.
UUCGGUCAGGGAUGAGCUCGCGGCCUAUCAGCUAGUUGGUGAGGUAAUGGCUCACCAAGGCGUCGACGGGUAGCCGGCCUGAGAGGGUGACCGGCCACACUGGGACUGAGACACGGCCCAGACUCCUACGGGAGGCAGCAGUGGGGAAUAUUGCACAAUGGGCGAAAGCCUGAUGCAGCAACGCCGCGUGAGGGACGACGGCCUUCGGGUUGUAAACCUCUUUUAGCAGGGAAGAAGCGAAAGUGACGGUACCUGCAGAAAAAGCACCGGCUAACUACGUGCCAGCAGCCGCGGUAAUACGUAGGGUGCAAGCGUUAUCCGGAAUUAUUGGGCGUAAAGAGCUCGUAGGCGGUUUGUCGCGUCUGCUGUGAAAACUGGAGGCUCAACCUCCAGCCUGCAGUGGGUACGGGCAGACUAGAGUGCGGUAGGGGAGAUUGGAAUUCCUGGUGUAGCGGUGGAAUGCGCAGAUAUCAGGAGGAACACCGAUGGCGAAGGCAGAUCUCUGGGCCGUAACUGACGCUGAGGAGCGAAAGGGUGGGGAGCAAACAGGCUUAGAUACCCUGGUAGUCCACCCCGUAAACGUUGGGAACUAGUUGUGGGGUCCAUUCCACGGAUUCCGUGACGCAGCUAACGCAUUAAGUUCCCCGCCUGGGGAGUACGGCCGCAAGGCUAAAACUCAAAGGAAUUGACGGGGACCCGCACAAGCGGCGGAGCAUGCGGAUUAAUUCGAUGCAACGCGAAGAACCUUACCAAGGCUUGACAUAUACGAGAACGGGCCAGAAAUGGUCAACUCUUUGGACACUCGUAAACAGGUGGUGCAUGGUUGUCGUCAGCUCGUGUCGUGAGAUGUUGGGUUAAGUCCCGCAACGAGCGCAACCCUCGUUCUAUGUUGCCAGCACGUAAUGGUGGGAACUCAUGGAAUACUGCCGGGGUCAACUCGGAGGAAGGUGGGGAUGACGUCAAAUCAUCAUGCCCCUUAUGUCUUGGGCUUCACGCAUGCUACAAUGGCCGGUACAAAGGGCUGCAAUACCGCAAGGUGGAGCGAAUCCCAAAAAGCCGGUCCCAGUUCGGAUUGAGGUCUGCAACUCGACCUCAUGAAGUCGGAGUCGCUAGUAAUCGCAGAUCAGCAACGCUGCGGUGAAUACGUUCCCGGGUCUUGUACACACCGCCCGUCAAGUCAUGAAAGUCGGUAACACCUGAAGCCGGUGGCCCAACCC